RNAcentral lists this ribosomal RNA (253 nucleotides) under uncultured bacterium. Its description in RNAcentral is "partial 16S ribosomal RNA". It matches the Rfam family "Bacterial small subunit ribosomal RNA", at positions 524 to 776 of the family's 1533-position model. The record is from RNAcentral.
UACGUAGGGGGCUAGCGUUGUCCGGAUUUAUUGGGCGUAAAGAGCGUGUAGGCGGCCAGAUAAGUCCGCUGUGAAAUCUCGAGGCUCAACUUCGAGCUGUCGGUGGAAACUAUCUGGCUAGAGUCCGGAAGAGGAGAAUGGAAUUCCUGGUGUAGCGGUGAAAUGCGCAGAUAUCAGGAGGAACACCGGUGGCGAAGGCGGAUCUCUGGGCCAUUACUGACGCUGAGGAGCGAAAGCGUGGGGAGCGAACAGG